Triticum dicoccoides is the source of this 1478-nucleotide long non-coding RNA. RefSeq lists it as uncharacterized. The transcript is spliced from 2 exons. The record is from RefSeq and is a predicted model, not a curated record. NCBI's taxonomy places the organism in Eukaryota, Viridiplantae, Streptophyta, Magnoliopsida, Poales, Poaceae.
UACAGGAAAAAAAAGCCUUCACAUUAGGGCGCUACCUCCUCCGUCCAAGUACCACGCAGCCAAGCCAAAUCUCUUCUCUCCCUGACCACAACGCCGCCGCCACCACCUCUGAUUCAGCUAGCUCCGGCGCUCUGUCUCGCCGUUGCUCACCGGACCAGCUGCCCCACACUGCUCUCCUCCGACCCCCCGCCAUGGCGAUGUCUUCCGCGCCACUACAUGCGGCCCGCAGCAACCCUAGGUGCCACAGGUCGCCAGCGCCCGCGCCUCCUCUGGUUCGCCAUACUACCCAGUCCCCGUGGUACAUCUCCACACGCGCGGCUGCUGGCUCGGCGGUGGUGUUGCUGCUCCGCCUCGGCAACCUCGACUCCGACGCCACUGACGGUUCAGUAAGUCACUCCUCGUCUGACCCUUGUUUUCUUACCCCACUUGGUUCUUUGUGUGGCAGGCCAUGGCAGAUUCUUCUUUGCCGGCCAUCGUGAUGGCGAUCUGCGGGACCUUGAUACUCAUUCUGAUCCACCUCCGCCACCGGCGUCCAUGCCACUCCACCUUCAUGAAUCAGAGUAUUCCUAAAGAUGACGUUCUGUCCCAUAGCUUCCCCUUUUCCUUCCCGCCUUUCAGAUUGUAUAACACUGAGCGGUUACUCGUGUACCUCUAUCCUUCUCUCGUAGUACUGCUACCAUGUACGACUCUGAUUGAAACAACGACAAUGCGAAACACAGGGAGUUUGCGUCGUUCAUAUCUAUGUACUAUCUCAUUAUAUACAUCAAUGUCCAUUAUAUGUACAGCUCACACUGUUUCCCUUCUUAAUUCUUAUUAAUUAAUUUCAAUAUAUGAUUAUUUUUCAUUCAACUUGGUGUAUUUCAUUAGUCCCCUAGAAAACAUCACCGACCAGAUGGCUAUAUGUUUCAGGAAAUGAUCUCUGCAGGGUGUUGUCAAGCGGAGAGGUGGAGGACUUAAAGUGGUAGAAUCAGAACAUCAGAUCACUUGUCUGCUGAAAGCAAUUCACCUAGAGGGGAAAGGGUGGCCGAUGUACUGCAGGUCAGUACGAUCGAGGGCAAGGCACACGUGGGUGGAGAGGAAACGCUUGCAGCUAGGUUAAAGGAAGGGCUGAGCACGAUCAAUCCAGUGUGGUGUUACAGAUCUGGGCCUCUAGCUUGCUGUCAAAGACGCGUUCUUGCAGAGAACCUGAGUAAAGCUGUAAUUCUCGCCAACGCAUCAAUGCAAUGCAAGGAAGUUCAUAGAGAAGCUUGUCAUCCAGCAUGAAGGGUGCGGGAAGAUGAAGACGAAGAUGAUGCAUGGCUAAGUUAUUGAUAGAAUGGUGGAGAAUGGGGCUACUACCAGAUAGUUUUAGAUUUACUAUAUAGAAUAUCAGUUUCAUGGUUAAUAUAUAGGAAAUCAUGUAAUAUAUUUUUCAGAUUGUGUUCCAUGUAAUGCAACCGAGUUGAGUAAAUAUAUGAGAUCUUUCUAUUUGGUGGAUU